Long non-coding RNA from Meriones unguiculatus (Mongolian gerbil), 6074 nucleotides. RefSeq lists it as uncharacterized. The transcript is spliced from 2 exons. Lineage: Eukaryota; Metazoa; Chordata; Mammalia; Rodentia; Muridae. The record is from RefSeq and is a predicted model, not a curated record.
AGGGCACAACUCCCCCGCAAUAAGGCGCCUCCUGAUUGGCCCGCUAGUGGCGGUAACACGCGCUCUGAUUGGUCCGGACUCUGCUCUCGACACUACGCAUGCUCGGCCGCGGGGGCUGCCUGUGGAUGAGCCCGGGAAGAUGUGAGAAAGCGCGUUUUGGCCUGUGCCGGCGUUGAGCUUUGGUCCAGCCUGAAGAGAGGAGCGUGGGGACACGAGGAUGCUCCCUGAAAGACACGCGUGAACAGACUCAGGUCGGGGGACGCAGGAGGACCUCGGGGCCGAGGACUACCGGCAGCUGCAGCCCCACUCGCGUGCUGGAGGGCCUUCCGUGUCCCCACGUGCCUAGCAAUCGCUCCUUCCCGCCCUGCUAUUGCAGAAUUAGGCUGGGUCCGUCUCCGGUAGCCUGGGUUCACCUUUCACAGGACUGUUUCCUUUUAUUAGAUCCUUCAAAGCUGUAACUUUUGGCCUUUCACCUCUUGCUCUUUAACUUGUUUCUGCUGUGCUUUAUCCCAAUGCCCUACGUGAUAGGUCCCCACCUGCUGCAGGGCCUGGCUGGCAUACGCUGCCCUCUACCUAGGGUCGGGCUUGCCUCACCUAGAGGCCUUUACUAUAUAAUCCAGACAUAUUGUUUCCUCCGGCCCCUUUUGCCUGCGCCAUGGUCCUUUCUCCCCACCCCCUUGUCUCUUUCUCUUCUCUCUCCUUUCUGCUUUCUCUUCUCUCUCCUUUUUCUCUUUGUCCUGACAUAUGUUUUUUGUUUGUUUGUUUGUUUGUUUUGUUUUGUUUUUUCGCCAUCACCUCUGAGAUGUGCCUCUUAAGGCACACAUAUGACUCCUGUCGUAAGCACACGAUGUCAGAAAUAGACAGACAUGUUUAUGUGUUUUUGCAAUGUCGGAAUUUAUUGAAUUGCCAAUAACUUUCACAGCACAAUGGUUUCACUGGCACCCAAGAGUCCACUCUACUUGGUAGCCCAGGCUAAGGCAAACACAGGUUCUUUUAUUGAAGUCUUAAUUACUAAUAUUAACUCACAUACAUUGCACAUACAUCACUCGGUAAGUAUAUCUCUCUAUAUGUUUACAUAUGUAUAUAUAUGGGUCACAGUGACUACAAAGGGUUAAAAAGAGGGAUGGAGUUUUAAAAGCCUUGUGAAGCCAAAGCUGGGAAAUUGACAGGAAUGCAAAGAGUCUGUAUUGAUAACAUGAGUCUACAGGAAAGAAGCUGCCGCUGUUGGCUGAGAGUCACAGAGCUGACCAACUGACUAUUUUAACCCAGAUGCAAAGGUGAAAGGUCAGGACUGAGUCUAGACAAAACAGCUCUUAGACAAAUGGACUGCAGGUCCAGACUGGCAAACAGUUCAAGAAGGCAGAGUUGAGUAAAACACAUCAAAGACAGGGAGGAGCCCACCUGAAGGUCUCUGGAAGUUCAGGGGUUCUCAGCCUGUUGGUCUGUGACAUACUCCAGAUAGUCAGAUGACCCAUUUGGGGGGUCAUUGGCAUGACAAUGUUAGGCAUCAGCCUUUGUCAACAGAAAAACAAGAUUUCCAACACAGUUAAGUGCCUUCUCAUUUGCUAGGAAUCUCAGUAGAAUUUUCAUUUAUAGAGAAAGGAAGAAUAUUAACCUUUUGUAUAACUAUGGUGGCUUUUUCCUUGUCAGAUUAUAAUCCCAUUUAAAACAUUUCUGGAGCCACUAUAUGGAUAAUGCUAAGUGUGUGUGUGUGUGUGUGUGUGUGUGUGUGUGUGUGUCGUUUUCCUACUGAGCACUUUAAAAAAAAAAACAUAUGCUUAAGCUAAUAUUAAAAUAGCUAUAAUAAAAUAACCAUCUCUGCUUCACUAUAAAUUCUUUUCACCAUCAAAUUUAAGAAUCCCGGUUUAGCCUGAACUGAAGUCCCUAAAGUUCCAGGGGAACUCCUCUGGCUUCUGAGGAUGACAGUGUGAUAAUAAUCUUCAGAAGAAAGCCAGAGGUGGGGCCUUGAUCUGGUUUGUUUUUUUGUGACAGUGGAGAAAUCUAAGACACCACACAGACAGAAUCAGCAGUUGAAGAAAGGUGUUUAUUGGGAGCUGAGGAAACACAAGCACACAAUACACACAAGCAGAGCAGAGGCUCAGCCAAAAACAUCCAGUCUCUUGUCAAGGGUUGGGUUUUUUUUAAUCUCUAAAGAGUCUUCCUGCCCUAAUUUAGGGCUGGUCAGUUUGAAGAAACGAAGGUGAGGAACUGUGUUUCUGUUUCCUCAUUACUAACAGUAAUUUUUUUUUAAUAUUUGCUCCCAUGAGCCUGACACCUUCGAGGAACAGAGUAUUUCAAAGUGUACUCAAGCAAGGAGGAAACUCAAGGACAAUUAAAGUUGGGGAGAGGGGGAAAAAAGUUUGGCAAACUGGAGAUGUUUUCUGAUUGGGGAUCAAGAAAGCAGGCUUUCAGCAGUGGGCUUGGUGGGGGUGCUUCAGGGUCUUUGGGGAGUGAGAAAACCUGGAGUGUCAGAAAAGGCAAGCUUAGGAGUUUGGUUGGUGUCUAAAAAAGGGAAGUAGAAGGGAAGAAUAAAUGUUCUGGUUUCAAGUAGGCAGGCUUAGUGAGGGGCUGUAAACUGAGGGAGGGACCUGUGAGGUGUGACUACACCUCAGGACAUGUUUUGCGGUAUAUCAUGAUUCUUUUGACUUCAAUCUGUCUUCCCAAGAUUGUAAGACAGUUUUCUAUUCAUCCCAGGAAGGAAAGCUCACGUUGGCUACCUUAAACAUGUUAUGAGCCACUGACCACUUGUGAAGGGCUUGGUGACCACCAACAAUGCUGGUGUAUCAUUGCCACACUGAUACUUCUGCGUCCCAAAUGGGUCUCCAGACAUGGAAGGCACCCGCUGUUUGCAUCAGAAAGGAUAGAGAGUGUGCCAUUUUUACUAGAAGAAACUCAAUUGUUUCCUGCAUGGAGCCUGGGAAGCAGCCAACUGGCAAUGACCCUUUUGAUUCUCUUCACUACUAAGCAUCUCUAUCACCAACAUUUGAACUUCCUUGUAUUAUGUUGUCAUAGAAACCUUUGGAACUUUUCAAAGUUGUAUGAUGAAAUGUUUGAACAGUCAACUGCCUGGCUCACAACUAAGUCUAGAAAAACUCCUUGACUUAACACAAGUGGAAAUCUGCACUCCAGGAAGAUGAGCUUCCUGGCAGUCAGCUUUAUCUUCUGGGAAUGAAGGUCCUGGCAGCAGUUGCCUCAGUCUGACAGGUCAGUUGCUGCACACCUACGAUGCUAAUCCGAAGCACACUUAGGAGGUAUUUGUGGAGUGUUUUCUGUGUCCAUGCGCCUUCUCUGGAAGUUAUGAAGGCAUUCUACAGGCUCUGUCAAGCAAGGCAGCACCACAGUCAGCCUGCUCCAGAGAAUCACUCCCCUCCAUCCCAGGAACUGGAUCCAAGGUAAUUAAGUCCUGGGCCGGCUGAGACACCCGUUGAUGGCUCCCCACAACCAAGCACUGGAUCUUAAGAGUGACAUAGACUCCAAGUCGUAAAUGGUGUCAUGCAAACCCAAACCACAAAUGUCAUGGAGGACCAGAAUGGAUGGUCUUGGAGAGAUAGAAACAGACACAGUCUGUGUACGUGACAGGAAGGAGGGAAGAAGCCAGCUUACUUUGAAGCAUCUUGCUGAUUGCCAUUUUCCAUGAAACUUCCUGAUUCUUCAUAAGGCAUGGCCAUCUCCCUAGUUUACUAGAGUGGCCCUAAGAUCUUUGCACAGGAGCGAUUUUUGGCAAAGACAAGCCCUUGGGAUACUGCCCAGUUCUCCCCAGCCUGGUUCAGCCUAUCUGAGAUGUCAUCCUUUGCUGGCCUUCCAACACUGAUCCUUCACCCAAACUGUUUCUUUCUCUAGAAAAGCACCCUGCUGUUCCAUCGUGUAUUUGAACACUUGCUGUCAUCGUGUCAGUGCCACAGGUGUGAUGUGAAAGGCCAUCGUCUGAUGGCCGAUUUAAUUAAAGCAAGCUUUUUAAGUUUCUAGACCCUGGCUGCUCCCCUCCUCCCAAGGCUGAGUUCAGGCAAUCAACACCAGAUGUGAAGAAGAGAAGGUUUUUAUAGCUAAUAUAGAUACAACUAAUAUAUAUAAUAAUGUGUAGCUAAUAUAAUAUAGAAAAUAGGGGAUUCCCAAAAGGGGGAUUUGGCAAGCAAAUAAGCAGGGGUCACAGCAGCAGGACAUAAACAUAACAAGUUGGUUAUAACAACCUUUUGACACAAAAACAUGGCUGCAUCUCCUAGAACAAGCAGUACUGAACUAUUUGAAUUAAGGUCACAGGUGGGCCAUAGCCUAAUCCUUGAGAAACAGACUUAAUCAUAAACAGGAACUAACCUAGUUUAUCUUCACUAUAAGAUGGCUUUCAAGCCCAAGCGUGGUAUACUGCCCCUUCACUCUUUUUCUUGCUGCCAAGACCAUGCCCAGGCUCAUCUCUCUGAUUACUCAGGCUGCACCCUCUCUUUAUUGUGCUGUGGGGUGUCUCCACGAGAGGACCCAGCUGACCUCACUGCAGCUGACUAAGGAAGGGCUGGUUCAUCUUGCAAGUCCCCAGCUCUGAGUGCUUCAGCCACACUGGCUGCUCAGGAGUUUUUGCCUGAGUCUAGUUUUUAGCUGUGGGUUUUGAUGUUAUGAUAGCUUAUGUUGUCUCUUGGGUACACAGAUUACUUCUCUUGAGUUGUUAACAUGUAUAAGAGAAAUUUUCCUACCAGACAUCUGAGCCUUGAAGAUUAACAAGAAUUUUUAAUGUUUUUAGCAGAAUGUACUGCUGUUACCUACAACUUCUAGUAUGCUCCUUCUCCUGAAUCCCUUGUUUGGUGUUUAAAAAAAAAAUGCUUUUCGGGGCUGGAGAGAUGGCUCAGAGGUUAAGAGCGCUGGUUGCUCUUCCAGAGGUCCUGAGUACAAUUCCCACCAAUCACAUGGUGGCUCACAACCGUCUGUAAUGAGAUCUGGUGCCCUCUUCUGGCGUGCAGGCACACAUGCAGGUAGAACUUUGUAUACAUAAUUAAUAAAUCUUAAAAAAAAAAAAAGACUUCUCUGGGACUGGAGAGUCAUAAAGAGCACAGGCUAUUCUUCCAGAGGACCCAGUUUCCAGGACCUGUCUACAACUGUAGUUCAGGAUAUCUUCUGGCCUCUAAGGGCACACAUGAGGUACAUAUACAAGCAAGCAAAGCACCCGUACAUAAAAAAUGUAUAGAUAAAUUUUAAAAGAUGGUAUGAAAUGUCUGAAUAAUCAAUAAAAAUAUGUUUUUUAAAAAGGGAUUAGAAAAUAUUCAGCCAGGCAUGGUGGUACACACCCUUAAUCCCAGUGCUUAGGAGGCAGAGACAGACAGAUCUCUGUGAGUUCAAUUCUGCCCUGGUCUACAAAGUCCAGAACAGCCAGAGCUGUUACACAGAAAAACCUGGUCUCAAAAAUCAAAACUAUCCAGUUGUAGGCAAGCCUGUGGGGCAUUUUCUUAAUUACUGAUUGAUAGGUGAAGACCCAUUUCAUUCUGAGUGGGUCCACCCCUGGUCUGGUGGUCUUGGUUCUAUAAGAGAGCACACUGAGAAAACCAGGGGAAGCAAGGCAGUAAGUAAGCAGCACUCUUCUGUGACUUGAGCAUCAGCUCCUGCCUCCAGGUUCCUGCCCUGCUUGACUUUCCUUCCUGCAAUGAAGAGCAAUGCUGUGGAAGUGUAAGUCAAAUAAACCCUCUCCUCCCCUAUCUACUUUUGGUUAUGGUGUUAAAUCACAGCAAUAGGAACCCUAACUACAACAAUAGGUACACAAAUCAAAUCAUUACUGACACGUAAUAAGGAAUUUGACUUUAAGGCGAUCCUUAGGAAUUUCUGAUUACCUUCACUGGUGGUGGGACGGACACACUGACACCCUGAGAUGCACAUGGAGGUCAGAGGCCAACUUGCAGAAGUUGGUUCUCUUCCAUCACGUAGAUCCUGGGGAUCAAACUCAGGCUGUUACGCUUGGUGGCAGUCCUCUCCCCCCACCCCCACCCCUUUUUUUUAACCUGCUGUGUUACCUCACUGGCUUUUAAAAAUGAUUCUUUGUUAUGUGUUUAAUUUUGUUGUUGAUUAAAGAUGUAAGCAAAUGUUUAUUUUAACAUAAA